Molecule: long non-coding RNA, 998 nt
Organism: Astatotilapia calliptera (eastern happy)
Lineage: Eukaryota; Metazoa; Chordata; Actinopteri; Cichliformes; Cichlidae
Source: Ensembl
GAAACAUACAGCUGAUGAAGGAAUUGUUAUGAUGAAGAUGAAGCAGACCUUCAACUAUCGCCAAAAGAUGAUUCAUGAUCCAGUGAAGUCAUCUGAUAUCUUUUUGGACUUCCCAAGAUUCCUGGAUAUAGGAGGAUUAAUUGAACAAGAUUUUACUUUGAUGUUCGAUGAAGCCACCUCUGUGAAGUUCCUGGAGAAGUGGCCCACUAUCUACAAGCAGAAAGUCCUCAAACAAAGCCGUGGUCUCACGCAAUCAGAUGACCUUCAGUACUUUGUGCAAAAUGCUGAAUGCACAAUAGAAGUGGAAAAUGGUGAGAUAAAAUAAAUGGAAUUUUAUUGUUAUGUUUUAAUUGGAGCAUUUGAAAGUGUAACACCGUCACCUGCUGUCGCAUUUUAUUUUUUUUUUCAAAACUUUAGAAUGUAAGUGUUAACACAGUUGCAGAUAACGUGUUUUGGCAGCUAAUUAUUGUUUCCAAUUUACUUAUGUUUCCAGGAUGGGACAGUGACAUGUCAUCCAUUUUGAUCCUUGUACACCUGUUACCACCAUCACCUCAUGGCCGCAAGAGACCAGGAAAGCUCUCAGCCAGACAAGCCUGUGACCAUCUUGUCAAGUUUGUCAAGACGGGAACUAGCAUCCAGGGGCAUCUCGAUGGCAUCACGGAGAGCCUUCAACCAUACCUUCUUGCAGUGGGCACUCAGAGGAAUGUGAUUCACAAGUACUUCAUUGUGAUAGACAAACAUGCAGUACCUUGUAAGUCACCAGGCUCUCUUGCUUGUUUUGAUGAGCUUUUCAAAGCUCACUUUGUCUUUGGUACGUCAUAUGACCACGAUCUGGUCAAUAUGUACAACUUCCUGCAGACCACCAUUUACGAGAUAGAUGUUGAUACAACCAAAGUGAAUCCUAGGGUUGCAGAGUUGAGGGCUCGGAUGCUGCGUUGAAUUUUUUUUUUUCUACUAAAAGUGUUGAGCUGGAAUGUUUUGUUUCAUUUGCAAGAGGU